GACGAACGCUGGCGGCGUGCCUAACACAUGCAAGUCGAGCGAGUGGAGUUCUUCGGAACAAAGCUAGCGGCGGACGGGUGAGUAACGCGUGGGCAACCUGCCUCAUAGAGGGGAAUAGCCUCCCGAAAGGGAGAUUAAUACCGCAUAAGAUUGUAGCUUCGCAUGAAGUAGCAAUUAAAGGAGUAAUCCGCUAUGAGAUGGGCCCGCGGCGCAUUAGCUAGUUGGUGAGGUAACGGCUCACCAAGGCGACGAUGCGUAGCCGACCUGAGAGGGUGAUCGGGCACAUUGGGACUGAGACACAGCCCAGACUCCUACGGGAGGCAGCAGUGGGGAAUAUUGCACAAUGGGGGAAACCCUGAUGCAGCAACGCCGCGUGAGUGAUGACGGCCUUCGGGUUGUAAAGCUCUGUCUUCAGGGACGAUAAUGACGGUACCUGAGGAGGAAGCCACGGCUAACUACGUGCCAGCCGCCGCAGUAA
RNAcentral lists this ribosomal RNA (478 nucleotides) under uncultured bacterium. Its description in RNAcentral is "partial 16S ribosomal RNA". It matches the Rfam family "Bacterial small subunit ribosomal RNA", at positions 28 to 523 of the family's 1533-position model. The record is from RNAcentral.